Long non-coding RNA from Erpetoichthys calabaricus (reedfish), 640 nucleotides. RefSeq lists it as uncharacterized. The record is from RefSeq and is a predicted model, not a curated record. Lineage: Eukaryota; Metazoa; Chordata; Cladistia; Polypteriformes; Polypteridae. The transcript has 4 exons.
GAAACUCUUAAGUACUUGUAUUCCAUGCAUAAUUGUGCUCCUGAAGAACAGAUACUCUACUUAAGAUGAAUGUUGUAAGAUAAAUCAGUGAGGAGAACUUGCAUAUCUCUGACACUUUGGAUUACCACACUUUUCAGCAAAAUCUGUUUCUGGAAAUCUGCAGUGUUUGAGGUCAAUGUGAACAAUAAAGACACAGAUCAAGGUUAUGCCAUGAUACAGACUCACCACAAGCUGGAGCUUCAAGUUACAGGGGCAUUUAUACUACCAUCAUUUGAAACCCUUCAAGUACAGAUAGUUGCAUUUGCAAUAAAACAUGGAAGGAGCCAUUCCUGGAUGAAAGACCAGUCCAGUGUAGAAGGGGGCAUACUUCUACUGGAGUUGACAAUGAAAUUUGAAAAUAUCAUAACACAAACAGAAUGAGCUGGUAGGGAAAAGGAAAAUGUUAGGAAGAAAACUAAUAAAGCAAAUGCUUUUGGAACUUGCCGGCUUGAUACAGAAUUCCCCCCAGCUGGGUAUUACACCACAUUCUGAUGGUUUAAGGAAAUGGUGCCACUAUACUUCUAUACAGUGCAUUUUUACUUUCUCGUAUACGAAGUAUAAGGAAAGAAUUGUAUUUGUCCAAAAUUCGCCCUUGAGAUUU